Molecule: ribosomal RNA, 679 nt
Filed under: uncultured Staphylococcus sp.
Lineage: Bacteria; Bacillati; Bacillota; Bacilli; Caryophanales; Staphylococcaceae
Description: bacterial SSU rRNA
Rfam family: Bacterial small subunit ribosomal RNA
Source: RNAcentral
GCGAACGGACGAGAAGCUUGCUUCUCUGAUGUUAGCGGCGGACGGGUGAGUAACACGUGGAUAACCUACCUAUAAGACUGGGAUAACUUCGGGAAACCGGAGCUAAUACCGGAUAAUAUUUUGAACCGCAUGGUUCAAAAGUGAAAGACGGUCUUGCUGUCACUUAUAGAUGGAUCCGCGCUGCAUUAGCUAGUUGGUAAGGUAACGGCUUACCAAGGCAACGAUGCAUAGCCGACCUGAGAGGGUGAUCGGCCACACUGGAACUGAGACACGGUCCAGACUCCUACGGGAGGCAGCAGUAGGGAAUCUUCCGCAAUGGGCGAAAGCCUGACGGAGCAACGCCGCGUGAGUGAUGAAGGUCUUCGGAUCGUAAAACUCUGUUAUUAGGGAAGAACAUAUGUGUAAGUAACUGUGCACAUCUUGACGGUACCUAAUCAGAAAGCCACGGCUAACUACGUGCCAGCAGCCGCGGUAAUACGUAGGUGGCAAGCGUUAUCCGGAAUUAUUGGGCGUAAAGCGCGCGUAGGCGGUUUUUUAAGUCUGAUGUGAAAGCCCACGGCUCAACCGUGGAGGGUCAUUGGAAACUGGAAAACUUGAGUGCAGAAGAGGAAAGUGGAAUUCCAUGUGUAGCGGUGAAAUGCGCAGAGAUAUGGAGGAACACCAGUGGCGAAGGCGACUU